This is a long non-coding RNA of Pelmatolapia mariae (spotted tilapia), 800 nucleotides long. RefSeq lists it as uncharacterized. The record is from RefSeq and is a predicted model, not a curated record. NCBI's taxonomy places the organism in Eukaryota, Metazoa, Chordata, Actinopteri, Cichliformes, Cichlidae. The transcript is spliced from 5 exons.
ACUGUUUACAGGCGAGGCAAAUGUUCACAUAAGUCUUACUAAGAGGAACGAAAACGUUAAGGCCACAGACAGAGGACUGGUCAGGAUGUACCAUCCAGCUCUUGGAAAACAGCUUUUAAUGAACCAACAAAAAACUUCCAUUGAUAAAUAUGAGAAGAGAACAGAUGCCAUUGCUUUACCUCCAUGCAGAUGAAUACGGUUGAGCAGAAGUGAAGGCCGUUCACAGAAUGAUGUCAAGGUUUCCACUUUGAUGGUUCAGACACACUUGUGGAGCAACAGCGGCUUGGCUUCAGGAAGGUGACUACCCAGUGUGCCUCAGGGUUGGAGACGAUGUUAUUUCCAGGAGCUCGAACGAUUCCUCACCACCUGACUCCUCCAUUCAGCUAGCUCUCUCUUCAUUUCUUGAUUUCCCGUUCGAGCAUUUCAUCCGCCUUACUUCCAUUAGUUUGUUCUUUCUUUUGCUUAACUGAUGAAGACAUUGUUUUUUCAGUUGUAUUUUUCAUUUUGAUUACGUGUAUAUGCAGCGUAAUGUCCUCGUUGCGCGUAAUCACAUAUGAAAGAUUACUUUGGCAAUUGCAUUUGUGGUGAGUGCUAUAUCAGCUUUUCCCACAAUCAAAUCACUCUGAUGAUCAUAUGAUAAAGGCAAGUGUUUGUGUGUGUCAAUCCAUUCCUAGGAAAUGAUGAUUUCCUUUCCUGUUUGUUCACAUUUACAAACUGAAAAUAUGCAAUGGCAGCUUUUACUUGACUACUUAGCCGGUGUAGAAUUUGACAUGCAUGAAACAGAAAAUGUAAUAAAAUAA